Molecule: long non-coding RNA, 969 nt
Filed under: Homo sapiens (human)
Lineage: Eukaryota; Metazoa; Chordata; Mammalia; Primates; Hominidae
Description: long non-coding RNA NONHSAT216685.1
Source: RNAcentral
GGCCUGGUCCUGAGGAGGGCUUGGAGCGGGCCUGGUUCUGGGGAUGGUUUGGGGGCGGGCCGGGUCCUGGGGAGGGUUUGGGGCGGGCCUGGUGGGGAGGGGGCGGGCCUAGUUCUGGGGGUGCCCCGCCCCCGCCUAGCCCCGCCCGGCCCACUGGGCCCGCGUCCCGCAGGAGCCGCAGGCAGAGCGUCCGGCGGCCGGGAGGGACGCGGAGCCACAGCCCGACGCACGGACGGAGGGACGCCGGAGCCCGCCUGACCAUGUGGAAGCUGGGCCGGGGCCGAGUGCUGCUGGACGAGCCCCCCGAGGAGGAGGACGGCCUGCGUGGGGGGCCGCCACCGGCCGCCGCCGCCGCCGCCCAGGCGCAGAUAAAAAGUGUCCGUAUGUGUGGUUUCUUCUGACACCAACCAAUUCUUCAGUACCAGCUGGGUGUCCUACAAUUCAGUUUCCUUCUGACAUUCCCUUCCCAGAAUUAGCACAGAUCCUAUGGAUUAAGGAGUCAUUCCCGCAAGACUGCACCCACUUCAGAUGCCAGAUACCAACGGGUGCCCAAUUCACCAUAAGUCUCUUAUGCCACUCCACAUAAAAUGUCUGAUGUCAGCACAAUGGUGGAGUGGAAAGUCCCGGACCUUGUUCCCCCACGGACUCUGACUGACAACAAUAUACAGUCCAAAAGGAUGUAUGAGAAUUACAGAAACCAGUUUAGAAGUCACAGUACCCCAGGCAAGCUCAAAGCCAAGAACAGCUGCAUUGAAGUAGGAGAAAAAAAAAGCCAUUUAAUUUCACCUGCCUUUCCCUGAAGGUGGCACAGCUUGGCAUGAUUGGUAGUAAACACCCAACUCUCUGCUGGGUAGAAAGUGAAGAAAGGAAGUCCACCAUUCUGAAUUUUGGGGGGUCACCUGAUGGACUGGUUUCUGUCUCUCCUGACUCAGUGCUGACUGGGAACUGGCAUACUUUGGAUGCCUGGGG